Molecule: transfer RNA, 69 nt
Filed under: Dipodomys ordii (Ord's kangaroo rat)
Lineage: Eukaryota; Metazoa; Chordata; Mammalia; Rodentia; Heteromyidae
Rfam family: tRNA
About the family: Transfer RNA (tRNA) molecules are approximately 80 nucleotides in length. Their secondary structure includes four short double-helical elements and three loops (D, anti-codon, and T loops). Further hydrogen bonds mediate the characteristic L-shaped molecular structure. tRNAs have two regions of fundamental functional importance: the anti-codon, which is responsible for specific mRNA codon recognition, and the 3' end, to which the tRNAs corresponding amino acid is attached (by aminoacyl-tRNA synthetases). tRNAs cope with the degeneracy of the genetic code in two manners: having more than one tRNA (with a specific anti-codon) for a particular amino acid; and 'wobble' base-pairing, i.e. permitting non-standard base-pairing at the 3rd anti-codon position.
Source: Rfam by way of RNAcentral
GGGAAAGUGGCUCAGUGGUAGAGUGCUUGCCUUGCAUGCAUGAAGCCUGGGUUCAAUUCCUCAGCACCA